RNAcentral lists this ribosomal RNA (1332 nucleotides) under Bacillus sp. DB52(2010). RNAcentral's name for it is "bacterial SSU rRNA". It matches the Rfam family "Bacterial small subunit ribosomal RNA", at positions 43 to 1356 of the family's 1533-position model. Lineage: Bacteria; Bacillati; Bacillota; Bacilli; Caryophanales; Bacillaceae. The record is from RNAcentral.
CAGCAUAUACAUGCAGUCGAGCGGACUUGAAGAGAAGCUUGCUUCUCGGAUGGUUAGCGGCGGACGGGUGAGUAACACGUAGGCAACCUGCCCUCAAGCUUGGGACAACUACCGGAAACGGUAGCUAAUACCGAAUACUUGUUUUCUUCGCCUGAAGGAAACUGGAAAGACGGAGCAAUCUGUCACUUGGGGAUGGGCCUGCGGCGCAUUAGCUAGUUGGUGAGGUAACGGCUCACCAAGGCGACGAUGCGUAGCCGACCUGAGAGGGUGAUCGGCCACACUGGGACUGAGACACGGCCCAGACUCCUACGGGAGGCAGCAGUAGGGAAUCUUCCGCAAUGGGCGAAAGCCUGACGGAGCAAUGCCGCGUGAGUGAUGAAGGUUUUCGGAUCGUAAAGCUCUGUUGCCAGGGAAGAACGCUUGGGAGAGUAACUGCUCUCAAGGUGACGGUACCUGAGAAGAAAGCCCCGGCUAACUACGUGCCAGCAGCCGCGGUAAUACGUAGGGGGCAAGCGUUGUCCGGAUUAUUGGGCGUAAGCGCGCGCAGGCGGUCAUGUAAGUCUGGUGUUUAAUCCCGGGGCUCAACCCCGGAUCGCACUGGAAACUGUGUGACUUGAGUGCAGAAGAGGAGAGUGGAAUUCCACGUGUAGCGGUGAAAUGCGUAGAGAUGUGGAGGAACACCAGUGGCGAAGGCGACUCUCUGGGCUGUAACUGACGCUGAGGCGCGAAAGCGUGGGGAGCAAACAGGAUUAGAUACCCUGGUAGUCCACGCCGUAAACGAUGAGUGCUAGGUGUUAGGGGUUUCGAUACCCUUGGUGCCGAAGUUAACACAUUAAGCACUCCGCCUGGGGAGUACGGUCGCAAGACUGAAACUCAAAGGAAUUGACGGGGACCCGCACAAGCAGUGGAGUAUGUGGUUUAAUUCGAAGCAACGCGAAGAACCUUACCAGGUCUUGACAUCCAACUAACGAGGCAGAGAUGCGUUAGGUGCCCUUCGGGGAAAGUUGAGACAGGUGGUGCAUGGUUGUCGUCAGCUCGUGUCGUGAGAUGUUGGGUUAAGUCCCGCAACGAGCGCAACCCUUAUAUUUAGUUGCCAGCACUUCGGGUGGGCACUCUAGAUAGACUGCCGGUGACAAACCGGAGGAAGGUGGGGAUGACGUCAAAUCAUCAUGCCCCUUAUGACCUGGGCUACACACGUACUACAAUGGCCGGUACAACGGGCUGCGAAAUCGCGAGAUGGAGCCAAUCCCAACAAAGCCGGUCUCAGUUCGGAUUGCAGGCUGCAACUCGCCUGCAUGAAGUCGGAAUUGCUAGUAAUCGCGGAUCAGCAUG